GACGAACGCUGGCGGCGUGCUUAACACAUGCAAGUCGAGCGGUAAGGCCCUUUCGGGGGUACACGAGCGGCGAACGGGUGAGUAACACGUGGGUGACCUGCCCUCAGCUCUGGGAUAAGCCUGGGAAACCGGGUCUAAUACCGGAUAUGACUCCAUGACGCAUGUUGUGGGGUGGAAAGCCUUGUGCGGCUGAGGAUGGGCCCGUGGCCUAUCAGCUUGUUGGUGGGGUGAUGGCCUACCAAGGCGACGACGGGUAGCCGGCCUGAGAGGGCGACCGGCCACACUGGGACUGAGACACGGCCCAGACUCCUACGGGAGGCAGCAGGUGGGGAAUCUUGCGCAAUGGGCGAAAGCCUGACGCAGCGACGCCGCGU
This 374-nucleotide ribosomal RNA is filed under the name uncultured bacterium. RNAcentral describes it as "bacterial SSU rRNA". It matches the Rfam family "Bacterial small subunit ribosomal RNA", at positions 28 to 402 of the family's 1533-position model. The record is from RNAcentral.